GAUGAACGCUGGCGGCGUGCCUAAUACAUGCAAGUCGAGCGAACAGACGAGGAGCUUGCUCCUCUGACGUUAGCGGCGGACGGGUGAGUAACACGUGGAUAACCUACCUAUAAGACUGGGAUAACUUCGGGAAACCGGAGCUAAUACCGGAUAAUAUAUUGAACCGCAUGGUUCAAUAGUGAAAGACGGUUUUGCUGUCACUUAUAGAUGGAUCCGCGCCGCAUUAGCUAGUUGGUAAGGUAACGGCUUACCAAGGCAACGAUGCGUAGCCGACCUGAGAGGGUGAGCGGCCAACCUGGAAUCGAGACACGGUCCAGACCCCUACGGGAGGCAGGAGUGGGGAAUCUUCCGCAAUGGGCGAAAGCCUGGCGGAGCAACGCCGCGGGGGUGAAGAAGGUUUUCGGAUCGUAAAACUCUGUUAUUAGGGAAAAAAAAAUGUGUAAGUAACUUUGACCGUUUGGACGGUACCUAAUCAAAAAGCCACGGUUAACUACGU
Molecule: ribosomal RNA, 496 nt
Filed under: uncultured bacterium
Lineage: Bacteria
Description: partial 16S ribosomal RNA
Rfam family: Bacterial small subunit ribosomal RNA
Source: RNAcentral